CUCUAGUUAGCGCAGUUGGUAAAGCGCUCCACUGGAGGUGGAUAGGUUCCGGGUUCGAUACCCGGACCAGGCG
Molecule: transfer RNA, 73 nt
Filed under: Ixodes scapularis (black-legged tick)
Lineage: Eukaryota; Metazoa; Arthropoda; Arachnida; Ixodida; Ixodidae
Rfam family: tRNA
About the family: Transfer RNA (tRNA) molecules are approximately 80 nucleotides in length. Their secondary structure includes four short double-helical elements and three loops (D, anti-codon, and T loops).
Source: Rfam by way of RNAcentral